RNAcentral lists this unclassified non-coding RNA (878 nucleotides) under Utricularia prehensilis. Its description in RNAcentral is "partial contains tRNA-Leu (trnL) gene and trnL-trnF spacer region". The record is from RNAcentral. Lineage: Eukaryota; Viridiplantae; Streptophyta; Magnoliopsida; Lamiales; Lentibulariaceae.
AGCUGAGCUAUCCCGACCAUUCCCAGCGUAGUAUCGAUACGCAUUUUAUUAUUUUAGUUGAUAAACGGGGUCUAUGUCAAUUAAAGCGAAAGGAGGGAUUACUAAUUUUUCUCCAAGUACUUCAAUUUAUUUGAUCUUCAUAAAGACCACUUUAUGAGUUUCAGUGUUCGUAAAGCUAUUAAUCCUGAAUUCAUUUUAAUCAGGAUUCUUUGCUAAAAUAGGAUGUGUAUUCUAUAUCACAUGGGAGAAGAUAAAGUAAUUUACGCCCAACUACGUUUAUUAAAGAAUCGUAAAAAUAAAGCAAUUUGUAACCGAAAGGGAUAGGGUAGGAUAACGAUUUUUGCAGUCAAAUAGGUCUGUUUGGGGAUAGAGGGACUUGACACUCACGUGUAAAAAUCAACGGAUUUUCCUCUUACUAUAAAUUUCAUUGUUGCCGGUAUUGACAUGUAGAAGGGGACUCUAUCUUUAUUCUUGUCCGAUUGAUCAGCUCUUACAAAGGUUUAUCGGACUAUGGAGUGAAUGAUUUGAUGAAUAACAAUUCUAGUUUUUCAUGAAUGUUGAAUGAAUUUACACCAAUCCUUCUUCUAUUUUUCAUAAUUCAUAUAAAAAAAAUCUAGAGAUUCGGGCCUUUAUUUUAUUAAUCAUUUUUUUUUAUAUAGUAUAGGUUUUGAUCCUUUCUGACGUUUUGGUGGAAAGAUUCCUAUACUGGUGCCCCCAUUUGUUAGAACAGCUUCCAUUGAGUCUCUUGACCUAUCCUUUUUUUUUUAGUUUUCUGAACCUUUCUUUUUAGAAAACAGGAUUUGGCUCAGGAUUGCCCAUUUUUGUGAAUUCCGGGGUUUCCCUGAAUUUGAAAGUUAUCACUUAGUAGGUUUCCAUAC